GGAAUCUUCCACAAUGGACGCAAGUCUGAUGGAGCAACGCCGCGUGAGUGAAGAAGGGUUUCGGCUCGUAAAGCUCUGUUGUUAAAGAAGAACGUGGGUAAGAGUAACUGUUUACCCAGUGACGGUAUUUAACCAGAAAGCCACGGCUAACUACGUGCCAGCAGCCGCGGUAAUACGUAGGUGGCAAGCGUUAUCCGGAUUUAUUGGGCGUAAAGCGAGCGCAGGCGGUCUUUUAAGUCUAAUGUGAAAGCCUUCGGCUCAACCGAAGAAGUGCAUUGGAAACUGGGAGACUUGAGUGCAGAAGAGGACAGUGGAACUCCAUGUGUAGCGGUGAAAUGCGUAGAGAUCUGGAGGAAUACCGGUGGCGAAGGCGGCCCCCUGGACGAAGACUGACGCUCAGGUGCGAAAGCGUGGGGAGCAAACA
Molecule: ribosomal RNA, 424 nt
Filed under: uncultured Pediococcus sp.
Lineage: Bacteria; Bacillati; Bacillota; Bacilli; Lactobacillales; Lactobacillaceae
Description: bacterial SSU rRNA
Rfam family: Bacterial small subunit ribosomal RNA
Source: RNAcentral